Molecule: ribosomal RNA, 448 nt
Filed under: uncultured Hyphomicrobiales bacterium
Lineage: Bacteria; Pseudomonadati; Pseudomonadota; Alphaproteobacteria; Hyphomicrobiales
Description: bacterial SSU rRNA
Rfam family: Bacterial small subunit ribosomal RNA
Source: RNAcentral
ACCUUACCAGCCCUUGACACCCCGAUCGGGGUUAGUGGAGACACUUACCGUCAGUUUGGCUGGAUCGGAGACAGGUGCUGCAUGGCUGUCGUCAGCUCGUGUCGUGAGAUGUUGGNUAAAUCCCGCAACGAGCGCAACCCUCGCUCUUAGUUGCCAUCAUUCAGUUGGGCACUCUAAGGGGACUGCCGGUGAUAAGCUGGAGGAAGGUGGGGAUGACGUCAAGUCCUCAUGGCCCUUACGGGCUGGGCUACACACGUGCUACAAUGGUGGUGACAGUGGGCAGCGAGACCGCGAGGUUGAGCUAAUCUCCAAAAACCAUCUCAGUUCGGAUUGCACUCUGCAACUCGGGUGCAUGAAGUUGGAAUCGCUAGUAAUCGUGGAUCAGCAUGCCACGGUGAAUACGUUCCCGGGCCUUGUACACACCGCCCGUCACACCAUGGGAGUUGGC